This 437-nucleotide ribosomal RNA is filed under the name Streptomyces sp. RNAcentral's name for it is "bacterial SSU rRNA". The record is from RNAcentral. Lineage: Bacteria; Bacillati; Actinomycetota; Actinomycetes; Kitasatosporales; Streptomycetaceae.
CGAAGAACCUUACCAAGGCUUGACAUACACCGGAAAGCAUCAGAGAUGGUGCCCCCCUUGUGGUCGGUGUACAGGUGGUGCAUGGCUGUCGUCAGCUCGUGUCSUGAGAUGUUGGGUUAAGUCCCGCAACGAGCGCAACCCUUGUCCCGUGUUGCCAGCAGGCCCUUGUGGUGCUGGGGACUCACGGGAGACCGCCGGGGUCAACUCGGAGGAAGGUGGGGACGACGUCAAGUCAUCAUGCCCCUUAUGUCUUGGGCUGCACACGUGCUACAAUGGCCGGUACAAUGAGCUGCGAUACCGCGAGGUGGAGCGAAUCUCAAAAAGCCGGUCUCAGUUCGGAUUGGGGUCUGCAACUCGACCCCAUGAAGUCGGAGUCGCUAGUAAUCGCAGAUCASCAUUGCUGCGGUGAAUACGUUCCCGGGUCUUGUACACACCGA